UAUUGCACAAUGGGCGAAAGCCUGAUGCAGCGACGCCGCGUGAGCGAAGAAGUAUUUCGGUAUGUAAAGCUCUAUCAGCAGGGAAGAUAAUGACGGUACCUGACUAAGAAGCACCGGCCAAAUACGUUCCAGCAGCCGCGGUAAUACGUAGGGUGCAAGCGUUAUCCGGAUUUACUGGGUGUAAAGGGAGCGCAGGCGGUGCGGCAAGUCUGAUGUGAAAGCCCGGGGCUCAACCCCGGUAGUGCAUUGGAAACUGUCGUACUAGAGUGUCGGAGGGGUAAGCGGAAUUCCUAGUGUAGCGGUGAAAUGCGUAGAUAUUAGGAGGAACACCAGUGGCGAAGGCGGCCUACUGGACGGUGACUGACGCUGAGGCUCGAAAGCGUGGGGAGCAAACAGG
RNAcentral lists this ribosomal RNA (397 nucleotides) under uncultured bacterium. RNAcentral's name for it is "bacterial SSU rRNA". It matches the Rfam family "Bacterial small subunit ribosomal RNA", at positions 362 to 776 of the family's 1533-position model. The record is from RNAcentral.